Molecule: non-coding RNA, 338 nt
Organism: Caenorhabditis elegans
Lineage: Eukaryota; Metazoa; Nematoda; Chromadorea; Rhabditida; Rhabditidae
Source: Ensembl
AAAAGGGACGCUCAUUCAUUAUGUGUCCCCCCUUAUGCCAAUUCGGGAAGCCCGUCUUCUUUUUCCCCCUGCGUUGAAAUCCCCCGUGGGGAUACAUUUUAUCGCCUACUAACUGCAUUGUCAAGUGAGAAAAGAGUGAUUCCAAGUUUCUCUUUCUCCCACUUCUCUCAUGUCCCCCUCCGUCUUGUUCUUCUCUGAAACAAUUGUCACCAUCUUAAUCACAUUGAAGCAGAGGCAGGUCUUUCAGUCUGGAGGGACUCGAGAGGGGGGGGGGGGUACAUUAGUAGAAACACAUUGCCUACAAAAGCUUAUUAGGUGCUUGCCACCAGAUUUGCCCA